UACAGAGGGUGCAAGCGUUAAUCGGAGUUACUGGGCGUAAAGGGCGCGUAGGCGGAUAUUUAAGUCGGAUGUGAAAUCCCUGGGCUUAACCUAGGAAUUGCAUUCGAUACUGAAUGACUAGAGUAUGGUAGAGGAAAGCGGAAUUCCCGGUGUAGUGGUAAAAUACGUAGAUAUCGGGAAGAACACCAGUGGCGAAGGCGGCUUUCUGGCCCAAUACUGACGCUGAGGCGCGAAAGCGUGGGGAG
RNAcentral lists this ribosomal RNA (245 nucleotides) under uncultured bacterium. Its description in RNAcentral is "partial 16S ribosomal RNA". It matches the Rfam family "Bacterial small subunit ribosomal RNA", at positions 524 to 768 of the family's 1533-position model. The record is from RNAcentral.